CCUACGGGCGGCUGCAGUGGGGGAUAUUGCACAAUGGGGGAAACCCUGAUGCAGCGACGCCGCGUGUGGGAAGACGGUCUUCUGGAUUGUAAACCACUGUCCCCAGGGACGAAAAUGACGGUACCUGGGGAGGAAGCUCCGGCUAACUACGUGCCAGCAGCCGCGGUAAUACGUAGGGAGCAAGCGUUGUCCGGAAUUACUGGGUGUAAAGGGAGCGUAGGCGGGGAUGCAGGUUGGGUGUCAAAACUACCGGCUCAACCGAUAGUCGCACUCAAAACUGCAGCUCUUGAGUGAAGUAGAGGCAGGCGGAAUUCCUAGUGUAGCGGGGAAAUGCGUAGAUAUUAGGAGGAACACCAGUGGCGAAGGCGGCCUGCUGGGCUUUUACUGACGCUGAGGCUCGAAAGUGUGGGGAGCAAACAGGAUUAGAUACCCGGGUAGUC
Molecule: ribosomal RNA, 440 nt
Filed under: uncultured bacterium
Lineage: Bacteria
Description: partial 16S ribosomal RNA
Rfam family: Bacterial small subunit ribosomal RNA
Source: RNAcentral